RNAcentral lists this long non-coding RNA (607 nucleotides) under Olea europaea (common olive). Its description in RNAcentral is "long non-coding RNA (OEUR_LNC012994)". The record is from RNAcentral. Lineage: Eukaryota; Viridiplantae; Streptophyta; Magnoliopsida; Lamiales; Oleaceae.
CCCUAACUCUAGCUAAUGGUUUAGAAAUACAUAAUGAAAUGUUACAAAGAAAAUAAAGGAAACUAGAAUAUGAUGGGAGAGGAAUUGAUGCUCUCAAAAUCAUGGCCAAGGUCCCCUUCUAUAGGCAAAGGAACAUCCAAAAUUCAAGUAGGUAAUGCAACUUGUUUUUGUCCAGUUUCAAGACAGAUAGAAUAUGCAACUUGAUGCCAAUUUUCAGAUACAUUGUGCAGCGACUUUGGACUUAUGAUCAAUAGAUUAAUUAUUGCCACUUGAGUUAUCUUUCCAUUGGUUCAAAUAUCAGGUUCAUUGGAUCUAUAUAACUCCAAAUAUGACAAAAAAUGAGUGCUGCUUCACAGGUAAAGUUGUAUCCGGCAGGUAACAAGAUGAACUUUGCACGGUAAUUUUGGCUCCCUUUUGAUACGAAUUUGACUUUUUCCAAAACAUGAAAGUUGUAGAAACAUGCCUUAUCUUUCUAACCCACUUUGAAUCACCUCAGUUCAAUGUCUAAAACUCAAGUUAUGAUCAUUUUACCGACAACUGCUUCUUGCUUGAGACAGUCACUAUUCUUGACUUUUCAACAUUAUUUUCCUUCACUUGCUCCACUUGU